Molecule: long non-coding RNA, 1814 nt
Organism: Struthio camelus australis
Lineage: Eukaryota; Metazoa; Chordata; Aves; Struthioniformes; Struthionidae
Source: Ensembl
AUAAGACCCAUUUUUUUCCAGUAAUCAAAAUAUGUUACCUCCCUUGAGAUACUGAUAGCCAAAAUUGUCAAAUGUGGGGUUUUUUUGGAAUUUUUCAGGCUGGGAAUAUUUAAGACAACUUCCAGAAGAUCCUUGUCUGCAUUCUGCACUAAGUCUCUCUUGAUAAAUAUAUUUAAUGUGAUCCCAUGCAAGACAAAAUGAGACUACUCCUUUCUCAGAAGUACUCACCAGCUGCAAUGCAGUCGUAUUCUGUAUUGCUCAGUACAUAAUCAGUAUAAUUGUAGUGGUAGAUGAGUCUCUACAGAUUAUUUAGCUCUGCUGAGAAGCCAGUUGGUCAAUUGAGGUCUCGCUAGGUGUUAAAACCCUCCACUGUAUAGAUGUAUCUACAGACCUGUUCUUAUUACUCCUGUGAGGUAAUUUAGAAAUGCGGCAACUUCUGUGUCCUCUUGCAAACAUGAACUACAAGAAACCAGUCUCUCUCUCCCCUUCUCUCUGCAGCAGACACUUGGGGAUCCCUGAGGCUCCGGCCUUGCUCAGCAGCCUGUGCCACUCACCUGUACCUCCUGAUCUUCAUAAUAAAAGGGAAAAGUCUUUUCAGAACGUGUGUGGCAAGGAGCUCUCUCCACCUGACCACUGUGCCUUUGCUCUGCCCAUGAGACAUGGCUCAAGUUGAUGUUACCUCCUGCACAGAAAGAAAAGAGGAAAGCAUUGCUCUGAGAACUCACCAAAGGCCUAUGUUUCUUCUUCAUGCCCCAGGUGCAGCCUGUCCGCUGAGACUGUACAAGGAGUGGGCAAGAGCCUCCAUGGGUCACCUUUUAUUAAGAGACAGAGCCUACUGAGAAACAGAUGAAAACACAGUUGAUAUUGGGAACACAAUCCAGUAUGUUCUUAAGAAGGCAGUGAAAAGACAAGGUAAGCCCAAAGAACAAGUCUGACUGCAGAAGUUGAAUGUUUUAUUUACAUUGAAUCAUUUCUCAGACAGCAUACACUGAAAAACAAAAUAACUUGUGGAAUGCUCAGGAUUACAAAGUUUCUCUUGAAAGAGAAGAAAACAUUCACUCUCAUGUGAAGGACCAUAAUCUCUUGCCAUUUACUCAUAUGCCUGCUCAAGGAGAUAUGUUGCCAUCUUUUACUAAUACUAGGUCUAUUUCCUCUCUUUAGUAAAUAUAUUUUUUAGAUUUUAAUUGAAAUUUCAGAAAUAGGAAUGUCUUUUGUUGUCCUUGUUUUUGUUGUGCUCAUUCCACAAUGGAGAUUUAGCUUUUAUUUAGACUGGAUGACCCAAUACAUUCAGUUCAGCAGCUAGAUUGACUGUCACUGAGUUGUCAAAUGCCUGUUAUGAACAGUAUAGGGAAGAAGAACAAGUUGACCUUGAACUUGCUAAAUGUUUUAUGAAUACUACCCAUUUCCAGAAAAAUAUGAAUAUGUUUUCCAGAUUUGCUCUUUUUCCUUUCCUUAAGGCUGUUUGUAGUAACAAAUACCUUUCAUCUUACUGAGAUGCUUGUUACAUGGAAGGUUUGGGAAGGGGAAAACAUUUUAAUGAUGAAUUUAAUGCUUGUGGGUUGUAAAAGAUGGAUUAUAUUGUAGUCUGAAUUCCUGGACUUAGCCAAAGGCUAUGGAGAAUAUUGCAGCUAUAAUGCUAACAUUGCUUCCUGAGUCCUGUCAAAUUCUUUUUUAUAAUUUGCCAUUACUGGUGUGAUUUGGUCUUGGUGACUAUUCUUUCCUUGUAAUUGGCUUUUUUAUUGUUAAGUAAAGUCAUAUUAGAUAAUACUAUUUAAAUAGAUUAAAUAAAAGCAAUCAUAGUUUUGAUCUCUCCA